AGCUUUGUGCAGUGGUAGUAUCAUAGUCAAUGAGGUUUAUCCAAGGCACAAUUAUUGCUAAUUAAAG
This 67-nucleotide small nuclear RNA is filed under the name Canis lupus familiaris (dog). RNAcentral describes it as "U4 spliceosomal RNA". It matches the Rfam family "U4 spliceosomal RNA", at positions 1 to 67 of the family's 138-position model. Rfam says of the family: U4 small nuclear RNA (U4 snRNA) is a component of the major U2-dependent spliceosome. The structure of U4 snRNA from yeast and human has been reported. RNAcentral also lists the same sequence under 1 other name. Lineage: Eukaryota; Metazoa; Chordata; Mammalia; Carnivora; Canidae. The record is from Rfam by way of RNAcentral.